This 82-nucleotide transfer RNA is filed under the name Echinostoma caproni. It matches the Rfam family "tRNA". Rfam says of the family: Transfer RNA (tRNA) molecules are approximately 80 nucleotides in length. Their secondary structure includes four short double-helical elements and three loops (D, anti-codon, and T loops). The record is from Rfam by way of RNAcentral. Lineage: Eukaryota; Metazoa; Platyhelminthes; Trematoda; Plagiorchiida; Echinostomatidae.
GGUCUCGCAGCUCAGCUGGUAGAGCAUGCGCGUACAAAGCGUAGGCAGCCUCCACGCGUGGGUUCGAAUCCCACGGAGGCUA